Molecule: ribosomal RNA, 468 nt
Filed under: uncultured bacterium
Lineage: Bacteria
Description: partial 16S ribosomal RNA
Rfam family: Bacterial small subunit ribosomal RNA
Source: RNAcentral
GACGAACGCUGGCGGCGUGCUUAACACAUGCAAGUCGAACGGAAAGGCCCUGCUUUUGUGGGGUGCUCGAGUGGCGAACGGGUGAGUAACACGUGAGUAACCUGCCCUUGACUUUGGGAUAACUUCAGGAAACUGGGGCUAAUACCGGAUAGGAGCUCCUGCUGCAUGGUGGGGGUUGGAAAGUUUCGGCGGUUGGGGAUGGACUCGCGGCUUAUCAGCUUGUUGGUGGGGUAGUGGCUUACCAAGGCUUUGACGGGUAGCCGGCCUGAGAGGGUGACCGGCCACAUUGGGACUGAGGUUCGGCCCAGCCUCCUACGGGAGGCAGCAGGGGGGAAUAUUGCCCAAUGGGCGGAAGCCUGAUGCAGCAACGCCGCGUGCCGGAUUACGGCCUUCGGGUUGUAAACCGCUUUCGCCUGUGACGAAGCGUGAGUGACGGUAAUGGGUAAAGAAGCACCGGCUAACUACGUG